RNAcentral lists this ribosomal RNA (238 nucleotides) under uncultured bacterium. RNAcentral describes it as "partial 16S ribosomal RNA". It matches the Rfam family "Bacterial small subunit ribosomal RNA", at positions 96 to 334 of the family's 1533-position model. The record is from RNAcentral.
CGGCGAACGGGUGAGUAACACGUGGGCAACCUGCCCCAGACACCGGGAUAACCCAGGGAAACCUGAGCUAAUACCGGAUACUCCGGCGAGAUCGCAUGGUCAUGCCGGGAAAGCUCCGACGGUCUGGGAUGGGCCCGCGGCCUAUCAGCUUGUUGGUGGGGUAACGGCCUACCAAGGCGUCGACGGGUAGCUGGUCUGAGAGGACGGACAGCCACACUGGGACUGAGACACGGGCCAG